UCCACCACAUUCAUGAUUCAUUGUUGGUAAUCUAGGAAAAUCUCUUUUACAAGUUCCUUUUCCCAAAUCCAAGCCCAACAAACUAUAUUCACUUUGGGGGUUGAAUUUUUGGCAUGUUGGGAAUUGCCACCAUUUCUUUUCUUCUGUUUUCUCUUGUUGGCCGUGUGUGGAGAUGUUGUCAUUUUAUGGUGUCGGUAGGAUGACAACAUGGUGACAGGCGACCUGGAGACCUCUAAACAACAGAAGCCUAGAAAAUCCAUUUUCAGAGAGACAACAUGCCAUUGUGUCGAUAAAAUGACAACACAUGCCUUGCAGGAAAAAUGCAGUCAGUGUUGUCUCUUUCCGUUGGUUGGAGCACGAACUCGUCAACCAAAGGUCCAAAAAUAUAAAUAUAGGAGGAGCCUGAUCUAUAUUGCAGAAGACGUGCCGUCGACGUGCCAACAUGUUCACUAAACCAUCCUCAUUAUUGCCGAUAUCUUUACUCUGGAUUCUGCUACUUGAUGUAUCGUUCGGUGUGGGACGAAACAGUCAUAGAAAUGUAAGAUACAAAUAAUUUUUUAUGAUGAUUAAUAUUACAUUCGUCUACAUCAAUAUCGUGUUCGAUUUAAGCUUGUAAAUAGAAAUUUAAUAAAAUAUUCUAAAUUCAGUAUUA
Long non-coding RNA from Carya illinoinensis, 652 nucleotides. RefSeq lists it as uncharacterized. The record is from RefSeq and is a predicted model, not a curated record. The transcript is spliced from 2 exons. Lineage: Eukaryota; Viridiplantae; Streptophyta; Magnoliopsida; Fagales; Juglandaceae.